Molecule: ribosomal RNA, 490 nt
Filed under: uncultured bacterium
Lineage: Bacteria
Description: partial 16S ribosomal RNA
Rfam family: Bacterial small subunit ribosomal RNA
Source: RNAcentral
AUUGAACGCUGGCGGCAGGCCUAACACAUGCAAGUCGAACGGUAACAGGAAGAAGCUUGCUUCUUUGCUGACGAGUGGCGGACGGGUGACUAAUGUCUGGGAAACUGCCUGAUGGAGGGGGAUAACUACUGGAAACGGUAGCUAAUACCGCAUAACGUCGCAAGACCAAAGAGGGGGACCUUCGGGCCUCUUGCCAUCGGAUGUGCCCAGAUGGGAUUAGCUUGUUGGUGGGGUAACGGCUCACCAAGGCGACGAUCCCUAGCUGGUCUGAGAGGAUGACCAGCCACACUGGAACUGAGACACGGUCCAGACUCCUACGGGAGGCAGCAGUGGGGAAUAUUGCACAAUGGGCGCAAGCCUGAUGCAGCCAUGCCGCGUGUAUGAAGAAGGCCUUCGGGUUGUAAAGUACUUUCAGCGGGGAGGAAGGGAGUAAAGUUAAUACCUUUGCUCAUUGACGUUACCCGCAGAAGAAGCACCGGCUAACUCCGUG